CAAUUCUUAUCAAACAACAGUUGACGACACUUCUAGUCGUUACUCGUUAAUCGUUACUCGUUGCGCAACCUGUAUAUCUAUUAUCUUUGAUUAUGGUCUUAGAAAAUCUUCUGAGGCCGUGUCUUUCAUCGUGCCUAGUACAACUACAUACCUUCUGAGUUCUGUUCUGACCCUCUCAAUGUCUCAAUUCCCACUUAUUGAUACUCUAGACUUAUAAAAAAAAAACACUUUACAAAGCCUCUCCAAUGUUAAGAGAAUCAUAGGAUCAAAGCAACUUUUGUUUUUACUUAAUUGAAUAGUUUAAUAUUAUAUAUUUCAAAUUAAAAGUUUUAAGUUGAAUAAACACUUCAAAUUCGCAAAUACCUUAUAGGUAUUUUUAUUAGAAUAUUUUGUUCUCUAACUUGUUUCUAAUUCAGUUAACAUGACAAUAAUAUAUUAAUAAGUCAGUCAAUCGUUUUUGAUGCAAAUUUGAUCAUUUUUAACCAUAUUUCUUGCAGAUGGCUGAUAAGUAGUAAUAUACAAUUAAGGUUGAGUCUAACUGUUGUGUAGUAAAUAUUUGAUUAUUAUUUGUCACACAUUUGAAUAAAAUUAUAGAAACACCGAGGACAAGUUUCAUUGUUCAAAUGGACUGUGUAUUGAAUUGUUGCGGGUUUGUGAUGGUCAUAAGGAUUGUUCAGAUGGUUCAGACGAGACAAAAGCUUUAUGUGCUCUAUUGCCUCUUCACGAUUAUGGAACAAAUAUGACCAUAGGUAGUUGUGGUAGAGCAUAUGUUGAAAAAAACGUAUUGUUUCCCAAUGUCAAAAAAAAUAAUGUAGGAACGGCACCUUGGUAUGUUGCAAUAUAUAAAUUAAUGGA
Long non-coding RNA from Myzus persicae (green peach aphid), 855 nucleotides. RefSeq lists it as uncharacterized. Lineage: Eukaryota; Metazoa; Arthropoda; Insecta; Hemiptera; Aphididae. The record is from RefSeq and is a predicted model, not a curated record. The transcript has 2 exons.